UUUUUUUUGUUUUGAUUGUAAAAAAUGAAACAUAUGUUAUCCAGUGUUGGUAAACGUUCGUAUAUGUUUUACUUGUUGCAGACUAUUGUGAAUGAUUGCUACAGUAGGGUACGUAGUAGUAAAACGGAUGAAUGAAUUUAUGCGUCCUUUUUGUAUUGAAAUUUAGUUGUAAUGGGGAAUUCUAAUGGAAAUGAAAUAGAUAUAUUUAACUAAAUAAAAUUUUGUUAGAAAGGGAUAUAUGUAUCGUUGUUAAAAGGCAGAUUUUAGAGGGAAAAAAAAAAUAAAGAUGGCUUUAUUGGAAUAGCUAGUUAAUAUAGGUCAAGCGUAGCCAUGUAAAUUUUGUACUUGGUAAGAUUACAAAGCUUCUGGACGUUGAGAAAUAAAGACAUAAAAAAGUGCGCGCAAUAAUAAGUGAAAUCAAAUCGCUAGUUUUUUAUAUAAAAAAAAAAAAAUAAAAAAAUAUACACCAUAUACAUUGGCAAAUAAAAGUAAAGAUUAAAAAUAAUACAAAAGGAAAUUACAUAAUAAAGGGUAGCAAGAGUUUGAGAAUUUCGAGUAUUGGACAAGAAAUAAAGUUAAAGGUUACUGCAACGACAAGGAUAAGGAAAUCUAGAAGUGUUCCUGCAAAAUAGUAUUAUAAGCUUGGAGAACCUUGAGACGGGUUUCUAUCUGGAGCAGGACCAGAGUUAACUAUUUUCGGAAACCUUACUCUUCCUGGGAAGAAUCUCAAAAAGGGUUCUCCAAAAAUUUAAAUCCUCUCCUAAAACAACAGGUAACCAUACUCAAUUAAGAAAAAUAAUAGCCAGAAAGAAAAAUAGUACAAUCCGUUCAAUACUCGACGCUACGUAUUCAAUUGUGAAAUUUCAAUUAUUGCACUUGAUUUUUAGUAUAUUUAACUAUAGAACAGAAGAUAUAUAUCAGAAUUUAGGGUUAAGAUUACUCCGUAUCAUUUAUUAGUUUUAAGUUUAAUUUAUUUAUAAGAUAUAUUCAUAUGUGUUUGUGAUUAGCGUGCCUCGCAAGAAAAAAAAAAAAUCGUCAGGUUGUAGGAAUAUCCAUCCCCAAAACAAAACGAAGUAUAUAUUCGAACUUUAGUUUUUUUUUUAUUUAAUUGUAUUUUCCCUCCCGAAAUAAAGAGCUCUUUAGAACAGGAUCAGGAAGAUUAGAUAUAGUGAACCAUAUCGAUGGUCUGGCAAUAUUGUGCAAAAAAAUAAAUAAACGUUUUAUUUUGGAAAAGGGUCUUUUCCUGUGGCAUGUAGAAACGCCUGAUAUCAUCUAUUGUGAAUAUCGCUAAGAAUUAGUGUAAUAAUACGUUAUUUUGUUAGAUUUGUGUAUAAAUAUAUGUAAUUUUUCUUUAUUGUUGAAGUUUAAUUCUUUUAUUCUAUUAUUAUAAGCCCAAUUUUUAAGGUAGAUAAACAUCUUAGGAAACCUAUAAUAGAUAAAAUAAAUGAAAUUAUGUUCGUUAAAUGAUUUGAAUUAAAAAAAAAAAAAAAAAAAAAAAAAGGUAUGAAGGCUUAAGUUUAUUUGUUUAAGGGGUAGGAAGAGAGAAGGUAAGUGGUGAACAGCGAGCGGUGUUAAGGGGUUGCUUUAGAGGAUGAGAGGAGAUAGUAACCAUGGUUGGGAUGGGCGGCUGGAGAAACAUCUACCUCCUGUUGUGGUCAUGUCUCAAUGUAGUGUAAUCGUGUUAGUUUCUGUAACGUUAGUGAAUUCAUCAUUAAUUGGUACUGCCCUGAGGCUAGGUUGAAGGGAGAGACCACCUCUGAGUGUGUCAUGCGAAAAGUUAGUCGGCCAGGAUUCAACCUAGUGCUGCCAAAG
This is a long non-coding RNA of Lucilia sericata (common green bottle fly), 1812 nucleotides long. RefSeq lists it as uncharacterized. Lineage: Eukaryota; Metazoa; Arthropoda; Insecta; Diptera; Calliphoridae. The record is from RefSeq and is a predicted model, not a curated record. The transcript is spliced from 3 exons.